Molecule: ribosomal RNA, 449 nt
Filed under: uncultured bacterium
Lineage: Bacteria
Description: bacterial SSU rRNA
Rfam family: Bacterial small subunit ribosomal RNA
Source: RNAcentral
UGGGGAAUAUUGGACAAUGGGGGGAACCCUGAUCCAGCAAUGCCGCGUGUGUGAAGAAGGCCUUCGGGUUGUAAAGCACUUUUGGCAGGGAAGAAGACAUAUAUUUUAAGAGAUAGUAUGUUUGACGGUACCUGCAGAAUAAGCACCGGCUAACUCUGUGCCAGCAGCCGCGGUAAUACAGAGGGUGCAAGCGUUAAUCGGAGUUACUGGGCGUAAAGGGCGCGUAGGCGGUUAUGUAAGUGAGAUGUGAAAUCCCUGGGCUUAACCUAGGAACUGCAUCUCAUACUGCAUGUCUAGAGUAUUGUAGAGGGUAGUGGAAUUUCCGGUGUAGCGGUGAAAUGCGUAGAGAUCGGAAGGAACACCAGUGGCGAAGGCGGCUACCUGGACAAAUACUGACGCUGAGGCGCGAAAGCGUGGGGAGCAAACAGGAUUAGAUACCCGCGUAGUCC